Long non-coding RNA from Drosophila nasuta, 643 nucleotides. RefSeq lists it as uncharacterized. The record is from RefSeq and is a predicted model, not a curated record. The transcript has 3 exons. Lineage: Eukaryota; Metazoa; Arthropoda; Insecta; Diptera; Drosophilidae.
AUAACUAACAUACACAUUUUUUAUUGUCAAAAAAUGGAAAUUGAAAGUUCUGCACUUCAAAGUUCCCAAUCUUUUUUUUUGUAUAACGGAUAGAUCUGUGAAUUAUAUAGAUUUCAUAAUUUCGAAUUCCUAAUGCUGUUUUUGUGGACGAGACGUGGUAUACGUCUUAAUAUAAAAACUCGUGAACAUUACAAUGAAUAAAGAAGCACAUGACGAAAUCAAGAACUGUAAACUCGUUGGGAAUUUACAUUGCGAAUUAAAGAAAUAUAUAUAAACAGACUGUGACAAUACAAUAAUAAAUUGAAUUAUUUGAAUCAGGGUUAUGUACUUCUUCCACCAAAUACUUCCUUUCAGGCCAGAGUACUUCGCAGAAACCAUGUAAUAAAAGUACAUCACGGUGUGCACAAAUGUAUUUAGGAGUCCCAUGACCAUAAAUUGUCCUCCGACUCCGUAGAAUCUAACCACCCAAUAUAUGACAAAGACCAUCAAUACAUGGUGGAAGACGUGCAGUACUGUAAUCUGCUUGUAACUCUUUCGAAGUACAAAGAAGAUGUAUUCUUAUUGGGAUGAUCCAGAGCAAUAGUUGGCAUGCAUUUUAAGUCGUAUAUUGGUUUAAUGAAGAAGACAUAGACUAAAAUGAGAA